UACGUAGGUGGCAAGCGUUAUCCGGAAUUAUUGGGCGUAAAGAGCGCGCAGGUGGUUGAUUAAGUCUGAUGUGAAAGCCCACGGCUUAACCGUGGAGGGUCAUUGGAAACUGGUCAACUUGAGUGCAGAAGAGGGAAGUGGAAUUCCAUGUGUAGCGGUGAAAUGCGUAGAGAUAUGGAGGAACACCAGUGGCGAAGGCGGCUUCCUGGUCUGUAACUGACACUGAGGCGCGAAAGCGUGGGGAGCA
RNAcentral lists this ribosomal RNA (247 nucleotides) under uncultured prokaryote. Its description in RNAcentral is "partial 16S ribosomal RNA". It matches the Rfam family "Bacterial small subunit ribosomal RNA", at positions 524 to 770 of the family's 1533-position model. The record is from RNAcentral.